RNAcentral lists this ribosomal RNA (479 nucleotides) under uncultured bacterium. RNAcentral describes it as "bacterial SSU rRNA". It matches the Rfam family "Bacterial small subunit ribosomal RNA", at positions 19 to 518 of the family's 1533-position model. The record is from RNAcentral.
AUGGCUCAGAACGAACGACUGGCGGCAUGGAUUAGGCAUGCAAGGUCGAACGGGAGCAAGCAAUGCUCCAGUGGCGCAAGGGUGAGGAACACGUGAACAACCUGCCUUCGAGUUGGGGAUAGCUUCUGGAAACGGGAGAUAAUACCGAAUAACAUCACCGGAUCGCAUGAUCUGAUGAUCAAAGCAGCAAUGCGCUUGAAGAGGGGUUCGCGUCCCAUUAGCUAGUUGGUGAGGUAACGGCCCACCAAGGCGAUGAUGGGUAGCUGGUCUGAGAGGACGAUCAGCCACAUUGGGACUGAGAUACUGCCCAGACUCCUACGGGAGGCUGCAGUCGAGAAUUUUGGGCAAUGGACGAAAGUCUGACCCAAGCAAUGCCGCGUGCGGGAUGAAGGUCUUCGGAUUGUAAACCGCUGUCAAGAGGGACGAAACAUGACGGUACCUCUGGAGGAAGCCACGGCUAACUACGUGCCAGCCGCCGC